GGGGGUCGGGGGGGUCGAAGUCGAGCCUCGCUGGCUCCGGCGCGGAACUGAGGGGACCGGGUCCUUCCCGCUGAAGCAUGGCAUAAGCCACGUUGGUCCCCUCAGCCUCCUUCGUGUCCUUUCCCUGGGGCAACACGGGGUGACGCGGGGCCAGACCGGCACCCCUUCUGGCCGGAGGGACCCUCCCCAUCCUCUAACGUCUGAGCAGCCUGUACCCUGCGUGCAAGGAACCAGUUUGGUUAUAAAAUCAAAGCAUGUGAUCAACAGCUCGUACAUUAUAUUGGUGUGGACCCAGAGAGCAAGCACAGACGAAGAGCAGACACUGACCUCACAGUUCUGACAGGUCUUCCUCAGUAGGAUCCACAGGAAGGGACUGACGCCAUGCUCCAAAAGCUUCUGCUUGAUGGCACUCUUGUGCCAGAAAUGCCAAUCACCCUCUGGAGCUGGGCCUCUCUCUCCACCCUUUGUGUAUCAAAAAAGGCCCAUGGUGGCCAAAGAACCUUCCAAACCCUCCAAACUAUGUUAGCUCCAGUGAAGUGUUGGGAGAAGAGCUGUGUCCUCCUUUGGGGUCUUCUUGGCAGUAAUAACAUACUGAAAAGGACAUUCAGAGGAGCCCUCCAUCUCUGGUUACAUGUCCACAGCACUCCAGGAUUUUCUGAGUCAUGUGGCCAGGCCCCUCUUUCCUGGGAACCAGGAUGUGAUGUAUUGUCAACUUUGUUAUUAUUGGUCAGGGUUAUGGCCAGAAGUACCUUGAUGAUUCACCUACUAGGGAUUGGUUGAAGACCCUUGCCACUUCAAACAAAUCCAGGUUCCAGCCAUGCACACAAAGUGUUGCUCCUGUAAUAAUGGAUCCUUUUGGAAUAUGAGUAAAGAUUGGUCCCUACAGAGCAUUCUUACUUAAGUGACUCCAUCUAGUUUUGGAACUUGUUUCUAGCUAGGUGACUGAAUGAGAGUGCUGAACAAACCCCAAACCAUCACAUGUCCCUUGUGCGAGGGCACUCAUCCCUCAUCAGUUCAGUUCAGUUGCUCAGUUGCGUCCAACUCUUUGCGACCCCAUGGACUGCAGCAUGCCAGACUUCGCUGUCCAUCAUCAACUCCUGGAGCUUGCUUAAACUCAUGUCCAUCACAUUGGUGAUGCCAUCCAACCAUCUCAUUCUCUGUCAUCCCCUUCUCCUCCUGCCUUCAAGCUUUCCCAGCAUCAAGGUCUUUUCCAGUGAGUCUGUUCUUCACAUCAGGUGGCCAAAGUAUUGGAGUUUCA
This is a long non-coding RNA of Bos taurus (domestic cattle), 1258 nucleotides long. Lineage: Eukaryota; Metazoa; Chordata; Mammalia; Artiodactyla; Bovidae. The record is from Ensembl.